Rhodamnia argentea is the source of this 1314-nucleotide long non-coding RNA. RefSeq lists it as uncharacterized. NCBI's taxonomy places the organism in Eukaryota, Viridiplantae, Streptophyta, Magnoliopsida, Myrtales, Myrtaceae. The record is from RefSeq and is a predicted model, not a curated record. The transcript has 3 exons.
UGACAGAAGUGUUUUAAGUGGAUUCCAAGAUCAAUUUGCGCAUUGUUUGAUUUACGAAGCUAGGGGAAUCAACAAUCUCGAAGCUAUUAAACUCUUUAGCAAGCCUGCCUUUAGAAGCAACUCUCCUCCAAAUGCUUUUCUGAGUCUAUCUAACAAAGUUUACUUAAAAAAUCGGAGGGCUAUCGAAGUGAUGGAAUCAUUAUUAUAUGGGAAAAAGAAGGCACCUUUGGCAAGAUACAUUGAAAAAGAUGGAAUAUUACCCUCAUAAGGAUGUGAAGAAAAAGUUAAUGUUGAGUUAUGAGACAUUAGAUCAUCAGCAAAGACAAAUAUUUAUUGAUAUUGUUUGCUUUCUAGCUGGAGAAAAUAAGACUUAUGCAGAUUACAUGUGAGAUGACUCUGGGUUUUUUCCGAAUUAGGGGAUUGAAGUUCUACUUUUGAUGUCCUUAGUCAAAAUUGGAGAAAACGAUCAACUAUGGAUGUAUGAUUAGCGUAGAGACUUGGCCAGGAGCAUUGUAUACCAAGAAAGUCAUAAAGAUCCAGGAAAACGCUCAUGGGUGUGGAAUCAGGAAGAAGCUCUUAAUAUGAUCAACAGAACGAAGGAAAACGAAACUGUUGAAGCGAUCUGUAUGAACUUUCGCGGGAUUAUGCCAGCCAUUGUUUUGGCAUCAGAUGAAUUUAGGAAAGUGCCAAGUAUUAGAUUUCUUAAAAUGGAUGGUGGGAACCUUUCUGGAGAUUUUGAGGAUCUCUUUGAGAAUUGAGAUGGUUUUCUUGGAAGAACGGUCCGUCAACGCUAGGUGCGACCAACUUUUGCCCAAAAAAUCUACUCAUCCUCGACCUAUCGAGGAGCCGAAUAGACGAACUUUGGGGCGGUUGGACUCAACUUAAGAUGACCAAUAGAUUGAAGGUCCUUAAUCUGUCAAAGUGCCCCAGGUUAAAGGAAUCCCCUGACUUCUCUGCAUUUUUAUCCUUAUAAAUUUUAAUUGUAGAGGAGUGUAGGAACGUGUUAAGGAUUGAUGGAUCUAUUGAUCAUCUGAAACGUCUGAAGCACUUGGAUUUAAAUAGCUGUUCUAGUUUCCAAGUGCUUCCUAUUGAAUUAGGCUCUCUGAAAGCUUUGACUGUGCUACUCAUUCGCAACUUUAAAUUCUUUGGAAGCAUUAAUAAAAUCCCAAGAUCAAUUGAAGCACUCGUAAAUCUUUAGUGCUUCGCCAUUGGUGGAGUUCGUGAGCUAACGACACUUCCUGACUCCAUUGGUGCUGCGACUUUUGGCUGAGUUGGAUAUCUCAGGCACAGACAUUAGAGAAUUGCCAAAUACCA